AGAGCCACACCUGAGGCAUAUGGAGGUUUCCAGGCAAGGGGUCAAAUUAGAGUUGUAGCUUCUGGUCUACACCACAGCCACAGCAAUGCGGGAUCCAAGCCAUGUCUGCGACCUAUACCACAGCUCAUGGCAACCCCAAAUCCUUAACCCACUGAGCAAGGCCAGGGAUCAAACCUGCAUCCUCAUGGAUGCUAGUCAGAUUCGUUUCCAUUGAGCCAUAAUGGGGAUUCAGGGACUGAUUUUUUAAAUCCCUAGUGUCCGUGUUAGCAGAAAGACAAAUAUUAUUCCACAUAGCCUUGCCUACUCCAAGUCUCUGUACCCCUCUACUGCUUUCUCAUGUAUGGUCUGUACUUAGAUUGUGUCUUAUCUAUAAAAUUAGAUCAUUCCAUAUGACAGCAGACCAAUCAGAUUGACCAAAACCUUUGGAUGCUGAACCUCAGGGGGCAGCUCCACACUAGAUCCAUUUGUUUAGCUCCAGGCCCACUGAUUCAGUUUCCCCCUCCCCAUGUUUUCCAGCAGUGCCAGCAUUUUAAUGGUUCCAGCAUACCUUGUAGCCAAGCACCCAUGUUGAGUUAGGUUGGAUUUCUAUGCAUCAAACCACAAAGAGAGAAUCUCGUGUUUCAGAUAGUAGAGGUAUAUCAGAAAAGUUGGUCAGAAGUAUCUGUGGAGAGAAUUCCAAAUAUCAGUCAACAAGGAUACAUUAAACACAUGCCAGUGUUAACAGUGAUAUACUAUGUUCCAGGUACUUACUCCUUCAUGUACACAACAGUCAUAUACCAUAUCAUAAUUGCAUUUUAAGGUGAGGAAAUGUCAGAAGUUACACAGAUGUAUUUUAUGCAUUGAGGAUUUGAACACAAGUCUCUCUGAUUCCAAAUUCCCUAAUUCUACUGCACCGUUUUGUCUACUUGUGAAACAACAUCCUAAAUUGCAGUGCCCUGUGAGUUCCUUCCUUCUUUGAGGCAUGCUCCAUGUUCCAGAAUCAUCCUGCUACCAGUUACAACAUCUUUCAUUAAAAAAUCUAUCACCUUAGCAUUCCUGUGGUAAGAAUCUCUUGUUUUGCUAAUGCAGAGACUGAGUCUCUGAGAUUUCUUUAAGGAAAUGGGCUACUUAGUGAAAGAAUCAAAAUGAAGGCCUGUAUCCUGAAUCCUGUUCAGAAUUUUUCCUGUUGAUCCUAAAAUUUCCCUGUUCAUUUAUUAAGGAUUCUUUAAGAAAGGUUGUCAUGCAACAUGGAUGGACUUAGAAGUUAUUAUGCUGAGUGAAAUAAGUCAAAGACGAAUACCAUAUGAUUUCACUCAUAUGUGGAAUCCAAAACAUUUAAAAAAAUGAACAAACAUAACCAAAUAGAAACAGUCAUAGAACGAACUGGUAGUGGCCAGAGACAAAGGCAAUGGAGGGGAAUAAAGAGAAAUGGGUGAGAGAGAUCAAGAGGUACAAGCUUCCAGUUAAAAAGUAAAUAGAUCAUGGGAAUGUAAUGGAGUACACAGGAAUAUAGACAAUAAUACUGUAAUAACUCCAUAUGGUAAAAGAUGGUAACUAGACUUAUCAUGGUGAUAAUUUGUAAUGUCUAAAAAUAUCGAAUCCCUAUGUUGUACACCUGAAACUAACAUAAUAUUAAAGUCAAUUGUAUUUCAAUAAAAAGAGAAAGUUAACAUAUAAAUUAAUGUGGUAAAUAAAGAGGAUUGCCAGUGACUUUUGCUUGGUAAAGACUGUCAGGAACAUCUGCAUUUAAGACAUGAAAAGUCUCUGGUUAGGGCAGAUUGGACACAACUUUUUUUUUCUUACCUCAUUUUACAAAAAAACAAUAGAUUUUUAAAAGGCAUAAACCUAUGAGCACAAAAAGAACAGAAAAAGGAAACAAUGGUGGACAUGAGAUUUUAGUAGAUGUUUAGAAGACGGAAAGCAGAUGGCUGGGAGAGUGGCAAAAACCUAAGUGCUUUCAGAAUGGGUUACCAACCGCAAGCAUGGGAAUUCGCCUUGAAAAACGUUACAGUGAUUCUGGAAUAGAGGCACUAGGGACUGUGUUGGUUUAGAAUGAAGUACAGGCUGAAUCCUAGAGAUCUGACUGAAGUGUCCCAACAGGAGGAUAGCCAGAGCCCCUGUUUUCCACCCCUGAUCUUUGAAGCUAGAUGAAUAUGUCUGCCCAGUUCAGCAGGAGAUGGGGGUUUACCCUGGAGAAAUUGACCGGAGAGCCCCUUGACUUAGAGAGAUUAGGUGGUGGUGAGACCCCAGGCUAAAAAUAGGGAAAUUAGGUAAAAAUCUGAAUACUGAAAAGUGAAAUUUCAAGCUCACUUUCCGGAUUCGCUUCUAGCAUCUUGUGAAAAUCUCUGACAUCACCAGUUCUUUCAGGCAGAGACAGACUUUUCUGGAAAAACUAGACAGCUUCAUGGAAAAGGCUUAAAGGUUCUUACAUUUUGGGAUUCUUCAAAGAAAAAUCAGCUUUCCGUAGGAUCUCACAGAGAAUGAAGUCCACCAUUUGGCAAGUUUCACUUCUAAUCCAGAGCUUCCAGUUGGUUUUAAAAUGCCUUGCUUUUAAAGAAGAUCAGACAGCCAGUGGUGAGCAAGCAUUAUUUGAAAACAUACAACUUGGAAAAUAGAAAAUAAGACAGAAGAUAACAAAUAGGGAAAAAAGGAAAACCGAAUUGUGAAAGACAUAUGGAAGACUAAAAGCAAAUUUCUACAUUAAACUCCUACAAAUUAAAUGAAAAGAUAAAGCUUUGUCUUUUUGAGCUCAGCCUAAUGGAAGAGUCAAGUAAACAUACAGAUGAGCAAUUUAUAGGACAAACAUAAAAAUUGCCUACAAAUGAAAGAAUGAUCAACCUCUAAUAGUGAUUAGAAAAUACUAAGACAACAAAAAUGCUUAUUAAGACAGGUAUUUAAAAAAAAUUUAGACUGGCAAAAAUUUCGUUAAAUGGAUAAUGUCUAAUGUUAAAACGAAGGGGGAGGAAUUGCUCUUUUCUAUGUAAUAUUGGUCAGAGUAUAAUUUGGUAUAGUAUUUUGGGGGAAAAUUUAGCACUGUUUUUAUAACACUUAAAAAUAAUUUUAAAUUAUGCAUACCCGUGGUCUUAACGACUUCACUUCUAGGAACCAUCCAUCAGAGAUAUUCGCAUAAGUACACAAGCCAUAAAUACAAGGGUGUUCAUGGAUGGCUAUUGCAGUAGGGAAAAAUUGGAAACAACCUAAAUCUGCAUCAGUGGAAGAAAUUGUGAAAUUUUGAAUAUGCUAAAUUAAUUUAGCAGCAUAGAAUUAACAGCUUAUUCUUCCUGUUAAAAGAAUAAGAAAUAUUCAUAUGAUUUAUGGACAAAUCCCCACAAUAUAUUAUUAAAUGAAAAAAUUAUGUUAAGGAAAUGUGUGUGUAGUAUAAGAACAUUUUGUCAAAAGAAAAAACAGUGCUUAAUUUAUAUUUAAAUGCACAUACAUUUCGCACAGACAAAAAAUUGGAGAAAUUACGUUACUAUUAAGUCGGAUGGAAGCUAUGUUCAUAGGAAAGAUAUAUAAUUUUCAUUAUCUCAGGUUUUUAAAAACUUUUUUAUAAGCAUAUACAAAUUGCUUACUAUUAAAACACCUAUGAUUCUUUCAGUUUUGAUCCCCAUGCACAACUAGUGUUGGGGUAUAGGUUAGAUCCAUGCCUGGCUCAAAGCAGUAAUCAAUGGUUAUUGUCUGAAAAAAUGAUUUCUAAGAGUUAUCACCAACUGUUUGUAAAUCAAUUAAACCUCGGCUUGUAAAACUAUCUUUUUAAAAAAAAAUCUUUCAUUGUAUAUUAUCUUCUAAAUAUUGCUUACUUAAUCUGGAUUCUUUGUGGCUUAUAGGAUCACUUUUAUGCUGAGUUUGGUCAUUACACCUACCUGUGUUUACAGUAUCAUUAAAACUAAGAGACUUAUAGGAGGGAAUGAAGCUUAAUUACUGCAGAACCAGCAGCAGGACAAGGGAAUUGUGUUUCCAAACCUCUGUGAGAUCUCCUUAAAGGUCUUUGAGGUUCAGAGACCUGUGGACGGGUGAUGAAUGGCAGGCCCUGGACUGCACUUGGCUGGAGUCUGAGCUCGGGAUGGGCAGGAAUUAAACAGUGCCUUCAGCAGUUGUCUGACACCAUUUCUGGCAGCAAACAAUUCCAGAAGGGGCCCAAGUGGCCUAUGAUUUUCCUUUUCAGCCCUGUCUUACAGCACCUGGAGCUGCAGCACUAGGAGGUGGUAAUUGAUGGCUUUGAUUUACUGAAGAAGAGUAAAGUGGGCUGUUAUCUAGUUCAGGGACAAGCCCUUGUGGAUAUGAAACUCUGCCCUCUAAGUAACAGGGGACUGUUGUAGAUCUUUAAACUGUCAUUUCUGCUGUGAACCAAGCCCCACCAAGUAUGGGCCUCUCUCCCUGUAUUCCUGUCCCUUUCUAGUCUGAGAAUAGCUUGAAAACUCACUGGACCUCUACCUCAGCCGGACACUGCCCCAGGGCACCCACUUGCUUCCUGUGGCUCUCUACAGCCUGAGAUUCCAUUUGUGCUGUCAUUUUGCAAUUUUCAUUAGUUGUAUUUUUUUUUUCAGAAGCAUCAAGUUUGCACAUCACAUUGAGUUUCCCAUUAGAACUCCAGAGGAAGGAAAGAAAGUGUAUGGAUACCAUAUGCUAAGCAGAGUGUUUCCUUUCCCAAAGCCUUUCACUGAACAGUCACCAUCACUUCCUAGGUGUGUGGUAUUUUGUGUGGUACAGAGAAUAUUUCUGAGGGCAUGGGCAAAGAUACUUACUGUGACUGCCAAAUUUUUGAAAAUCUUGUAAUUUAUAUUAUAAAAUUCUUAUGAACUUUGCGUUUUUGUUAUCUUUCCUUUCACUUUCUUUUCUUUUUUUUUUUUUUUUUGUAAGGUCUGCACCCACAGCAUAUGCAAGUUCCUAGGCUAGAGGUCAAAUCGAAGCUGUAGCUACCAGCCUACAGCCAUAGCAAUGCCAGAUUCAAGCCAUGUCUGUGACUUAUACUGCAGCUCAAGUCAACAUCAGAUCCUUAACCCACUGAGA
RNAcentral lists this long non-coding RNA (4989 nucleotides) under Sus scrofa (pig). RNAcentral's name for it is "lncRNA (ENSSSCG00000055954.1)". The record is from RNAcentral. Lineage: Eukaryota; Metazoa; Chordata; Mammalia; Artiodactyla; Suidae.